UACGAAGGGUGCAAGCGUUACUCGGAAUUACUGGGCGUAAAGGGUGCGUAGGUGGUUGUUUAAGUCUGCUGUGAAAGCCCCGGGCUCAACCUGGGAAUGGCAGUGGAUACUGGACAGCUAGAGUGCGGUAGAGGGUAGUGGAAUUCCCGGUGUAGCGGUGAAAUGCGCAGAUAUCGGGAGGAACACCAAUGGCGAAGGCAGCUCGCUGGGACGGUACUGACGCUGAGGC
Molecule: ribosomal RNA, 229 nt
Filed under: uncultured bacterium
Lineage: Bacteria
Description: partial 16S ribosomal RNA
Rfam family: Bacterial small subunit ribosomal RNA
Source: RNAcentral